Flavobacteriaceae bacterium CG2_30_34_30 is the source of this 69-nucleotide non-coding RNA. NCBI's taxonomy places the organism in Bacteria, Pseudomonadati, Bacteroidota, Flavobacteriia, Flavobacteriales, Flavobacteriaceae. The record is from Rfam.
UUAAAAUGGAGAACAGCAACCAUUCAAAAAAACGGGGUGACACCGAAAAACCAAAUGAGUAGGAACUAA